RNAcentral lists this ribosomal RNA (399 nucleotides) under uncultured bacterium. Its description in RNAcentral is "bacterial SSU rRNA". It matches the Rfam family "Bacterial small subunit ribosomal RNA", at positions 356 to 773 of the family's 1533-position model. The record is from RNAcentral.
GGGGAAUAUUGCACAAUGGGCGAAAGCCUGAUGCAGCAACGCCGCGUGAACGAUGAAGGUCUUCGGAUCGUAAAGUUCUGUUGCAGGGGAAGAUAAUGACGGUACCCUGUGAGGAAGCCCCGGCUAACUACGUGCCAGCAGCCGCGGUAAUACGUAGGGGGCUAGCGUUAUCCGGAUUUACUGGGCGUAAAGGGUGCGUAGGUGGUCUUUCAAGUCAGUGGUUAAAGCCUACGGCUCAACCGUAGUCAGCCUCUGAAACUGGAAGACUUGAGUGCAGGAGAGGAAAGUGGAAUUCCCAGUGUAGCGGUGAAAUGCGUAGAUAUUGGGAGGAACACCAGUAGCGAAGGCGGCUUUCUGGACUGCAACUGACACUGAGGCACGAAAGCGUGGGUAGCAAAC